CCUACGGGUGGCAGCAGUGGGGAAUAUUGCACAAUGGGGGAAACCCUGAUGCAGCGACGCCGCGUGAGUGAAGAAGGAUUUCGGUAUGUAAAGCUCUAUCAGCAGGGAAGAAAAUGACGGUACCUGACUAAGAAGCCGCGGCUAACUACGUGCCAGCGGCCGCGGUAAUACGUAGGGGGCAAGCGUUAUCCGGAUUUACUGGGUGUAAAGGGAGCGUAGACGGCAGCACAAGUCUGGAGUGAAAUGCCGGGGCUUAACCCCGGAGCUGCUUUGGAAACUGUGCAGCUAGAGUGCAGGAGAGGUAAGUGGAAUUCCUAGUGUAGCGGUGAAAUGCGUAGAUAUUAGGAGGAACACCAGUGGCGAAGGCGGCUUACUGGACUGUAACUGACGUUGAGGCUCGAAAGCGUGGGGAGCAAACAGGAUUAGAUACCCCUGUAGUC
This 440-nucleotide ribosomal RNA is filed under the name uncultured bacterium. Its description in RNAcentral is "partial 16S ribosomal RNA". It matches the Rfam family "Bacterial small subunit ribosomal RNA", at positions 338 to 795 of the family's 1533-position model. The record is from RNAcentral.